This 73-nucleotide transfer RNA is filed under the name Bos taurus (domestic cattle). It matches the Rfam family "tRNA". From Rfam's summary of the family: Transfer RNA (tRNA) molecules are approximately 80 nucleotides in length. Their secondary structure includes four short double-helical elements and three loops (D, anti-codon, and T loops). Lineage: Eukaryota; Metazoa; Chordata; Mammalia; Artiodactyla; Bovidae. The record is from Rfam by way of RNAcentral. RNAcentral also lists the same sequence under 2 other names.
UUCCUGGUGGUCUAGUGGCCAGGACUCCACGAUCCCAAUGCAGGGGGCCCAGGUUCGAUCCCCGGUCAGGAAA